This 468-nucleotide ribosomal RNA is filed under the name uncultured bacterium. Its description in RNAcentral is "partial 16S ribosomal RNA". It matches the Rfam family "Bacterial small subunit ribosomal RNA", at positions 28 to 507 of the family's 1533-position model. The record is from RNAcentral.
GACGAACGCUGGCGGCGUGCUUAACACAUGCAAGUCGAACGGAAAGGCCCUGCUUUUGUGGGGUGCUCGAGUGGCGAACGGGUGAGUAACACGUGAGUAACCUGCCCUUGACUUUGGGAUAACUUCAGGAAACUGGGGCUAAUACCGGAUAGGAGCUCCUGCUGCAUGGUGGGGGUUGGAAAGUUUCGGCGGUUGGGGCUGGACGCGCGGCUUAUCAGCUUGUUGGUGGGGGAGUGGCUUACCAAGGCUUUGACGGGUAGCCGGCCUGAGAGGGUGACCGGCCACAUUGGGACUGCGAUACGGCCCAGACUCCUACGGGAGGCAGCAGUGGGGAAUAUUGCACAAUGGGCGGAAGCCUGAUGCGGCAACGCCGCGUGCGGGAUGACGGCCUUCGGGUUGUAAACCGCUUUCGCCUGUGACGAAGCGUGAGUGACGGUAAUGGGUAAAGAAGCACCGGCUAACUACGUG